This 108-nucleotide non-coding RNA is filed under the name Geomicrobium sp. JCM 19039. Its description in RNAcentral is "SAM riboswitch aptamer (S box leader)". It matches the Rfam family "SAM riboswitch aptamer (S box leader)". From Rfam's summary of the family: The SAM riboswitch is found upstream of a number of genes which code for proteins involved in methionine or cysteine biosynthesis in Gram-positive bacteria. The SAM riboswitch acts at the level of transcription termination control. The record is from Rfam by way of RNAcentral. Lineage: Bacteria; Bacillati; Bacillota; Bacilli; Caryophanales. RNAcentral also lists the same sequence under 1 other name.
UCCUUAUCUGGAGUGGUGGAGGGACUGGCCCUGUGAAACCCGGCAACCGGCAAGCAAUUGCAAUGGUGCCAAUUCCUGCAAGGUUGUAAAUGCCUUGGGAGAUGAGAU